Molecule: long non-coding RNA, 362 nt
Organism: Arabidopsis thaliana (thale cress)
Lineage: Eukaryota; Viridiplantae; Streptophyta; Magnoliopsida; Brassicales; Brassicaceae
Product: other RNA
Exons: 2
Source: RefSeq
UUUGAUUCAUUGGAAGCUACACUCGAUGUCUUAAACGAGUGGCUUAACGUGCUUAGUCCAUUCAAAUCCCAUUUGCACUGAUUCCAUUAUUGUGUUUGGUCUCCAAGGAACAAAUCAUGUCGUAUGGUGCAUUCAUCAUCUAUCUCAUUGCUCGUGGCAUGAUCACUUUCACUCCUUGGCGAUUUAAAGCGGAGUCUAGUCAUUGAGAGUGGGCCAAACAAAAUAGUGUAGUAGCUAUGUCUUGUAAUCCUUAGGAUCAUGAGUUCUAGCUUUCUCUUUUGUAUUAUAUGUGUUGUUGUUAUAAAGCAGCUCUAGUUUUGUUGAAGAAGGCUCUUCUAUGUAUCAGUAGAUAGGUCCUGGAG